RNAcentral lists this ribosomal RNA (766 nucleotides) under Erysiphe quercicola. RNAcentral's name for it is "eukaryotic LSU rRNA". It matches the Rfam family "Eukaryotic large subunit ribosomal RNA", at positions 1 to 780 of the family's 3401-position model. Lineage: Eukaryota; Fungi; Ascomycota; Leotiomycetes; Helotiales; Erysiphaceae. The record is from RNAcentral.
UUGACCUCGAAUCAGGUAGGAAUACCCGCUGAACUUAAGCAUAUCAAUAAGCGGAGGAAAAGAAACCAACCGGGAUUACCUCAGUAACGGCGAGUGAAGCGGUAACAGCUCAAAUUUGAAAUCUGGCUCUUCCGGAGUCCGAGUUGUAAUUUGUAGAAGAUGCUUUGGGUUGUGGGUUCGGCCUAAGUUCCUUGGAACAGGACGUCAUAGAGGGUGAGAAUCCCGUAUGUGGCCGAGGCCCGCGCCUAUGUAAAGCUCUUUCAACGAGUCGAGUUGUUUGGGAAUGCAGCUCAAAAUGGGUGGUAAAUUUCAUCUAAAGCUAAAUAUGGGCCAGAGACCGAUAGCGCACAAGUAGAGUGAUCGAAAGAUGAAAAGCACUUUGGAAAGAGAGUUAAACAGUACGUGAAAUUGUUGAAAGGGAAGCGCUUGCAACCAGACUUGGGCGCUGCCGAUCACCUUGAGUUUUCUCGAGUGCACUCGACAGCGCACAGGCCAGCAUCGGUUCGGGUGGCUGGAUAAAGGCCGUAGGAAUGUGGCUCUCUUCGGGGAGUGUUAUAGCCUACGGUGCCAUGCAGCCCAGCCGGACCGAGGACCGCGCCUUCGGGCUAGGAUGCUGGCGUAAUGGUUGUAAGCGACCCGUCUUGAAACACGGACCAAGGAGUCUAACAUCUAUGCGAGUGUUUGGGUGGUAAACCCAUACGCGGAAUGAAAGUGAACGUAGGUGAGAACCCCUUUGGGGCGCAUCAUCGACCGAUCCUGAUGUCUU